CGUCGGUCUCCCCGCACCACAAAUCCGUGAAUCCCGUCAGGCCCGGAAGGGAGCAGCGGCAGCGGAGGCGUGGGUGACGGGAUCGGGCGGUCGGGG
RNAcentral lists this signal recognition particle RNA (96 nucleotides) under Wenzhouxiangellaceae bacterium. RNAcentral describes it as "signal recognition particle sRNA small type". It matches the Rfam family "Bacterial small signal recognition particle RNA". From Rfam's summary of the family: The signal recognition particle (SRP) is a universally conserved ribonucleoprotein involved in the co-translational targeting of proteins to membranes. The record is from RNAcentral. Lineage: Bacteria; Pseudomonadati; Pseudomonadota; Gammaproteobacteria; Chromatiales; Wenzhouxiangellaceae.